UAGUCCACGCCCUAAACGAUGAUUACUCGGUAUUGGCGAUAUACUGUCAGUGCCCAAGCGAAAGCAUUAAGUAAUCCACCUGGGGAGUACGUUGGCAACAAUGAAACUCAAAGGAAUUGACGGGGGUCCGCACAAGCGGGGGAGCAUGUGGUUUAAUUCGAUGAUACGCGAGGAACCUUACCUAGUCUCUAAUGCAUUCGGACCGUUCCUGAAAGGGAAUUUUCUCUUCGGAGACUGAAUGCAAGGUGUUGCAUGGUUGUCGUCAGCUCGUGCCGUGAGGUGUUGGGUUAAGUCCCGCAACGAGCGCAACCCCUAUCCUUAGUUGCCAGCACGUAAUGGUGGGGACUCUAAGGAAACUGCCUACGCAAGUAGUGAGGAAGGCGGGGACGACGUCAAAUCAUCAUGGCCUUUAUGACUAGGGCUACACACAUGCUACAAUGGUCGAUACAAUGGGCUGCAAACUGGUGACAGUGAGCGAAUCUCAAAAAGUCGAUCUCAGUUCGGAUU
Molecule: ribosomal RNA, 507 nt
Filed under: uncultured bacterium
Lineage: Bacteria
Description: bacterial SSU rRNA
Rfam family: Bacterial small subunit ribosomal RNA
Source: RNAcentral